UGUCGGCAAUAAUGACAGGCAGUAAAUCGAUACACAAUUUUAUCAGGGCACAGUAGGGCUACAACCUUAAUGGUUUGGUCCAAAUAAAAAUGAUUCCAAAUUUGGGGCCUCUGAAUAAAUUUCAGCUGACACUAUUAGAUUUAAAUCUUUGUUAUUAAAAAAAGCAAAGGUCGGAGGACGUGUUUUCUGUGCUCCCUCGCCAGGUGUGCUGGGUCCUUUGCUGGGAGGUAGGUCCGCGUUAUGGAUUGCCAGGACAUGGUUUCGCUGAGGCUGCCAGAAUGAAUUACAGCCCAUUGGCCAUGGGGAUUACAUCAGCCGCAGCCGAGUAAGCAUGCGCGGAGGAAGACCUCGUCCCCUGGAAGAUACCGCGCAGAACACAGAGCACUGUGUCUGCAUGACGCCAAGCUGUCCUUUGUCACCCGCUUCACAGUCUGCAGACGUGCUGGAAGCUACCGAAUACUCCCAGCGCAAGUGAUGCUCGUACGCAACCCAAGGUACUACAAAAACGGCAAAGUCACCAUAAUACAAGAUGAGAAGGGAGGGCUGAUCUGGCAGGAAUGCCAACACUGAAAGGGAAAUGUUUUGGCAGACAGGAAACUCCAGCCAAUGCCAGCAAUAGAAUUAAAAACCUGAAUCCUAAGGAGGCCAAUGGAGGGGGAAGGAAUACCUCAAUUUGAUGAAUUGCAGCUUGGAAGAGGUUGCUGCCCAUUGUAAGACACACAAUGGCAAGUAAGGUCAACGGGGACCAAUGCGGAGAUGGGUGCCAAAUGUUGCACCAAUCAGAGUGCAUGGAUUCCAGGUCAUGACCUUUCAUGUUUUCCUAGCUUCCUUCCUUUCCCACUGCACAGGAAUUCCAUGCACAUAUGUAUCUAUGAUUAAAAUAGUUAUAAAGUUGUACAAAUAUUGUAUUCAAUGACAUUUACCACUUCCGCUACACCUGUAAUUGUACAAUAGAUCUGUAAUGGAGAUGGCAUGUUUCUGAAAUUGAAAAAUUUAUAAAUAAAGAUUUUAUGAAUUUG
Brienomyrus brachyistius is the source of this 1019-nucleotide long non-coding RNA. RefSeq lists it as uncharacterized. The transcript is spliced from 2 exons. The record is from RefSeq and is a predicted model, not a curated record. NCBI's taxonomy places the organism in Eukaryota, Metazoa, Chordata, Actinopteri, Osteoglossiformes, Mormyridae.